This 229-nucleotide ribosomal RNA is filed under the name uncultured bacterium. RNAcentral's name for it is "partial 16S ribosomal RNA". It matches the Rfam family "Bacterial small subunit ribosomal RNA", at positions 568 to 796 of the family's 1533-position model. The record is from RNAcentral.
UAGGUAGGCGUCUUAAUAAGUCGGGUGUGAAAGCCCUUGGCUCAACCAAGGAAGAGCACUCGAAACUGUUAGGAUUGAGCACGGAAGAGGAGAGCGGAAUUCCCGGUGUAAGGGUGACAUCUGUAGAGAUCGGGAGGAACACCAGUGGCGAAAGCGGCUCUCUGGUCCAGUGCUGACGCUGAACUACGAAAGCUAGGGGAGCAAACAGGAUUAGAUACCCUGGUAGUCC